RNAcentral lists this ribosomal RNA (253 nucleotides) under uncultured bacterium. Its description in RNAcentral is "partial 16S ribosomal RNA". It matches the Rfam family "Bacterial small subunit ribosomal RNA", at positions 524 to 776 of the family's 1533-position model. The record is from RNAcentral.
UACGGGGGGGGCAAGCGUUGUUCGGAAUUACUGGGCGUAAAGGGCUCGUAGGCGGCCAACUAAGUCGGGUGUGAAAUCCCCAAGCUUAACUUGGGAACUGCAUCCGAUACUGGAUGGCUUGAAUCCGGGAGAGGGAUGCAGAAUUCCAGGUGUAGCGGUGAAAUGCGUAGAUAUCUGGAGGAAUACCGGUGGCGAAGGCGGCAUCCUGGACCGGCAUUGACACUCAACUACGAAAGCGUGGGGAGCAAACAGG